UACAGCCAUAUCACAUUGAAAUGCCAGUUCCUCUAUGAUCACCAAAGUUAAGCAACUUCGAGCCUGGUCAGUACCUAGAUGGGUGACCACUUGGGAAUAUCUGGUGCUGUAAG
Molecule: ribosomal RNA, 113 nt
Filed under: Acanthosepion pharaonis
Lineage: Eukaryota; Metazoa; Mollusca; Cephalopoda; Sepiida; Sepiidae
Source: RNAcentral